Long non-coding RNA from Hemicordylus capensis (graceful crag lizard), 2881 nucleotides. RefSeq lists it as uncharacterized. The transcript has 3 exons. The record is from RefSeq and is a predicted model, not a curated record. Lineage: Eukaryota; Metazoa; Chordata; Lepidosauria; Squamata; Cordylidae.
AGUUUGCAAGCAGAAGCACCUGACUGGGCAGUGGGGAUUCCAUAUGCAGAUAGGGAGAAGGAGCCUGUGAGAGCAGAAGCACCAUGGUGAUUGGGCAGUGGGGAUUCCCUAUGCAGAUAAGGAGGAGGGGCCUGUGAUGGUUAAGGUCAGUUGGAAUGCAGCUGUUACUGGUCAGAAGAUGUUCUGGAUAUAGAAGGAUAGCAGGCAGGGGUCUGCAAAAAGACAGGUCCUGAGGGAGGAAAGAGCCCCUUCCGGAGAAGGAGGAUGCCGUUGUGCUGGCUCUAGGAGGCGCACGCGUGUACACAAUGGAACACUCCUUUCGUCUUCGGUUUCCAGAGGGGAGAGUGUUUGUGGGAACACCUUCCUCCUCAGCCGCCUCUGCCUACCCCAGCGGCAGAGAUGCGCGGCCUGGAGCUGGGACGCCUCUGCGGGCAGAGUCCCCUUCCUCUGCUGAAGAAACAGCUAGAAAGAAAGAAAGAAAGAAAGAAAGAAAGAAAGAAAGAAAGAAAGAAAGAAAGAAAGAAAGAAGAAAAUUAGUUCUUAUAUGCACAGACACACAAAGAUUCCAGUGCAUUUAUCUAUGGAAAUUAGAUUAAGUAUCUAUUGAAAUGCAGGGCUUUAAUUCCCCGCUGGCCAAUCAGAUUGCCAGAGACAUAAAGUUGUUUCCAAGCACAGAGAUCUUUGAACAUGCAUAGAUUACAAAUCCGUAUGUUUCUAUUCUCUUGCAGGCUACAUAGAUAGGGAACAAUUACCAUAAGGGAUGGGUACUAAAAUGGGAGCUGCUGAGUUGAGUGUUUGUCUUGUGAAAUAUAUCUACGUAUGUUCAGGGCAGCCAAAAACCUACAGAAACAAAGGCAGCGAGUUUAGUCCUGCUUUUCCAUUGUAUUCUCCAUGCUUCAAACAGAAGAAAACAAUUCUAUUUCUCAUUUCUCCAUUCCUGCCCCAUCUUUUCCACCACAGAAUUCAAGGCAGUGGCUGACAAGCUCUGCAUGUGUGUCCUUCUUUGAAUGGUGGUGUGCUGCAUGGUAUGUCAGCUUAUAUACAUAUGAUUCUCAGGUAGUCUUCCAUCCAGAGACUGACCUGACCCAGAUCUGCUUAGCUUCAGCAAACAUGCUGUUUCAUAUGCCUUCAGACUACAGCCCAUGUCUUCAUCAGCUGGUCUACCGGUUACAGACAUCCUUUUUGUUCCAUGGGACAAAGUAAAUUGGCUUCAGUCUGGGACACAGGAGGAGGCAAUACCUGCUACUCUCCCAGACACUGAACUGACUAGACCCAUUAGACUGAAAAGAGGCGGCUCCAACUCACCUCGGCCCCCAGACAAUCACUUAAAUGUUGCUGGUAGCACAACUGCUAUCCCAGAUGAUCUGCGCUGCAUGGAACUCUGGAGGCUGGGAAGACGCCGUACCGCUUUACAUGUGAAUGUGGCCUAGGUCCAUGGCAGAAUCCCAACAUUCUCCUUCUCAUUGUCUCAUUCUUGAAUUCUGAGUCCCAUGUUUUAUUAUAUGGUGUAAUGCAAUCAUUUCUUUUCCUGAUUGCAGCCAUUUCUCUGUCUCUGAAACUGGCAUGCUUUCAUUUUUGUGCCAAUCUGUAGGUUCUGGCAUUUUCUCCUCUCUGGCUGCCUGUGACAGUCUUGUGAAUGGAAUCCCUUUAUUAACUCUGCCUCAGAGUCUUACUUCUUGUUCUCUUUCAAUCUCCCCUUCUUGAUUGGUACUCUCUGGUUCUGUCUCAGUCUCCCCUUUUUGACUGAGUCUCUCUAUUAUAUCAUAGUCUUCGAUUACUUGUUCAUUUUGUUGCUGUGGUUGCUGUUUAGCCUUUCCACUUUCCACCUGGACUUAAAAAUCCAGGUCACAGUCAGACAUCACAUUGGCAUUUGACUUUUGCCUCUCAUCAAAAUAUGCAAAACUCUGCUGUUUAACACUCUCUGUGAAAGGAUCAAGUAUUCUGUAGCUUUCGCUAUUCAGUGCAUAACCUAUGAAUAUUCCUCCUUCACUUCUACAAUCUAAUUUUCUUCUUAGUUCUUUAGGAAUAUAUACAUAUGCUUUGCAUCCAAAUACUCUAAUAUGUCUUAACUUAGGUUUUGUCCCAUUCAACAGUUCAAAGGACGCUACUCCUUUAGUUGUAGUCAUUACAGGUUCUCUCCAGUAUGUGUUUCCAGACCUGAGUCAAGAAGCAUACUUCUAGACAUUUAAAUCAAAGUUCUGUCUCUGCCACUUCAUUUUGCUCUGCAGUAUAAAGUAUUGUUCUCUCAUGUUCCUUGUUUUUUUAAGUAUUGCUCAGUAUCUUUUCCAGUAUAUUCCCCACUAUUACCACUGUGCAAAGUCUUAGAUUUUCUUCCACAUGUGUUGCUUUCUCUAGGCAAAUAUUCUUUAGGUUUUACCAACACCUCAUUUUUCUCUUUGAGUAGGUAAAUGUGAGUAUAGUGAGAAACAGGGGUGUGUGGAACCGGUUCAAAUCAAAGUUGGUUCGAUUUGAACUGGCUCCGUUUGACCAGUUCAAGCUUGAAUCAGACUGGCCCCCCAAAAGAGGGUGUCAGUCCGAAUUUGAACCAAACUGGGCCUGGUUUGGAUUAAACCACUUCAACCCAGUUUGACUGGCUUGAUUGCCCCAUUUUUAAAGGGGAAUCCAGUAAGGAUUCCCCUUUACAAUCAAAGGGGGACUGCCUCUCUAAAAAUGGGUUAGGGGGCAGGCGAGAGGGCACCUUACCAGCUUUCGUGGUGGUGGCUGUGGUGGCAGCUCCCUGGCGGUAGUAGGGGUAGCUCUGCAGCAGAAGCCCCUCUUGCUCCUACCCACAUUGCAACCAGUGGGCAUCCUGGUUUUGAUCUCUGUGCAUGCACAGAGGUUGGAAGGGGGCCACUCAUUGGCCUGCGGUGGGGGAGGGAGU